GAGUAAUUAAUGAGUGAUAAAAGAGUUGAUUUAAUACAAGAAAAGAAGGGUCUAAAACUGGCGGCAGCGGUAUAGGGAUAAAUAGGGACAUGUGCUUACAGUGCUUUUGUUUAAUUUACUCUGACGAGAAAACGCCUCUUAUUUUCAUUAAGCUUUGCUCGUUUUAAGUGGCGGAAAUAAUAGUGACGAUUUAAUUAUAUAAUUAAUGGUUCUUCCGGAGGACAUGGACUUUGACGAUAUGGUAAUGGAAACUCUGGCCAACCACUGUUGUUCUGUAGUGCAAUGGGUAGCACACGCGACUCAACCGAGAAUUCAUGAGUUCUUUCCCGGGCGGAGUGGAGAGGGAUGGGCAGUCUCUCUCCACCCGCGCCGCGAUCCAUUCAUCAGUGAGAGGGUGUCAGGUGACAGGCAGCGGCAGCGUCCCGCCUCCCAGGUUUGUUUGUUUUAGGAUUGUUACCCCAGGAUGGAGGGGAACACGGGGCUCUACGCCUCACAGGGUGGAGGUGUGCCGCGGCGGGCAUGCAGCCAUAGAGUGACUUUAUAAAGGCCUAACCCGCGUCCCCCAGGUUCUCUUCGCAGUGCUGAGUCCAUCCCCCUACAGGAGCUAACAGCUGGCUUGCAGCCCCUAAAUUAUGUGGUCGAGCCGGAUCAGCCCUUUCAACCCGCAAUCCAUUGGUGGAUUGUCUUCGCCAUUGUCGUGAUCCUGGUUCUUCUGCUGGUGACGUCUGCCGUGGGGUAUUCCUAUGUCCUACGCUACGCACGACGCCGCCUAAUUCCAGACUCGAACCAACUGCAGACAUUGCAAGGCGUAUCUUCUCCACCAACACCUGUGAGAUCUCAGGGGCGAGAUC
This is a long non-coding RNA of Eriocheir sinensis (Chinese mitten crab), 851 nucleotides long. RefSeq lists it as uncharacterized. Lineage: Eukaryota; Metazoa; Arthropoda; Malacostraca; Decapoda; Varunidae. The transcript has 2 exons. The record is from RefSeq and is a predicted model, not a curated record.